UUUCAAAAACGUAGAUGUCAAAUGAAAAUAUCUACAAUCUAAUUCUACUUGCAAAGUGUUCUUAGAACCCUAGCCAGCUCUACAGAUCAAGUUAUUGUCAUGCUUAACUCUCCCUAGCCUCACUGCUCUUGCACUCCCCCUUGCUUUAUCCUGCUCCUCUCCCUGAAUGUCGCAUCACAUCAGUGGCAUGCUUAUGCAUCUGGGCUAUAACUGCAUUUUUAUUUUCUUUUGCACUGUCUUUUGAAGAGCAAAAAUCUUUAAUUUUAAUAGUUUAAUUCAUCAGUACUUUGGGUUUGUACUUUUUGUGUCAUAUCCAUGAAAUCUUUGCCUAAUCCAAGGUCAUAAAAUUUUUCUCCAAAAGUUUAUUCUAGAGUUUUACAAUUUUAGCUCUAUGUUUGGGUAUAUCAUCUGUGUUUUUUUUUUUUCUUUUAUGAAUAGUGUGACAUAAGGGUUAAAGUUCAUUUUUUUCUAUAUGGCUAUCCAAUUGUUCCAAUACUAUUUGCUUAAAAGACUAUCACUUCUCCCAUUGAACUGGCACCUUUGACCCAAAUCGACUCCAUAUGUAAGAAUCUAUUUCCAAUUUGCUUGUCCAUCUUUAUUCCAAUAUGAUAUUGUCUUCAUUACUGUAGUUUUUAAUAUGUCUUGAAAACAAGUAGCAUAAGCCCAUCUAAAUUUUCUUUUUCAAC
This 686-nucleotide long non-coding RNA is filed under the name Homo sapiens (human). Its description in RNAcentral is "non-protein coding lnc-PRMT8-4:1". The record is from RNAcentral. Lineage: Eukaryota; Metazoa; Chordata; Mammalia; Primates; Hominidae.